UGUCAAGUCAGUAUGUCCCUUAUGCUCAGGGCUACACACGUGUUACAAUGGUUGGUACAGAGGGUCGCGAAGCCGCAAGGUGGAGCCAAUCCCCCAAAACCAACCCCAGUUCGGAUUGGAGUCUGCAACUCGACUCCAUGAAGCAGGAAUCGCUAGUAAUCGUGGAUCAGAACGCCACGGUGAAUACGUUCCCGGGUCUU
Molecule: ribosomal RNA, 200 nt
Filed under: uncultured prokaryote
Description: partial 16S ribosomal RNA
Rfam family: Bacterial small subunit ribosomal RNA
Source: RNAcentral